GUUGUCACUUGCCUCCACCACCACAGGGACACCAAGGCCCUAAAGAACACACAUGUAUACCCUCCAACGUUUUUACGAUGAAAACAGGGACAGCCUAUUCAAUCAUGAUGAUGAUGAUGAUGAUGAUGAUGAUUGUGGCGUUCGUACGAAGCCCCCGGUCAUCUCACGUACUAUUGACCCGCACACCACUAAUCCGCUGCCACCAACCAGGUCCUCCCCGGUAAAUCACUUAGUCUCAGUCAGGUUAAGUUAACAAUGAAGAUUGUAGUUUAUUGCAAACAAAAAUAAACUUUAAAUGCAUUUGAAACGCUGUUCCCCUUUACCCUCCUAGUCUUAUUUUAUUCUGUCUCUAACUCUUCUAUCUCUCCUCACACAAGAACCAACUGCACUAACUGUCUCUCUAAUUCCAACUGUCUGCCAACUGCUUUCCCAACUGCCUUUUCCCAACCAACUAAACCUCGGGCUAAGCCCUUUUAUAAACCGGUAGGCUCCACAUCUGGCUUUUCUAUUGGUCUACCUAUUAACUCUUUCUCUCCCCCCGUACAGACAUUUUCAAACGAAUGGGCAAACGCCACAAUGAUGAUGAUAUUAUUUAUAUCUCGCCCAUCUGACCGAGUUGCCCCAGCCCCUCUGGGCAGCUGCCAACACAUAUAAAAACAUAAAAAAUGCUGGAAAUGUGGAGAAAAAGAAGGAACCUUUUACCACAUGUGGUGGAUGUGCCCCAAGGUAAAAGACUUCUGGGAAAGGAUUUAUAAUGAAUUGGAAAAAGUGUUGAAAAACACAUUUACUAAAAAACCAGAAGCCUUUUUAGUUGGUAUAGUGGGGGGGGGGGGUGAAAUCCCCAAAAAGGAUGUUACUUUUUUUCUGUAUACCACAACAGCUGCGAGAAUAUUGUUAGCGAAGAAUUGGAAGAAACAAGAAUGGCAGAUGAAGAUUAUGGACUAUACGGAACUUGCCGAACUGACCGGGAGACUCCGAGACCAGAGAGAAGAGACGGUGGAAGAAGACUGGAAGAAGUUUAAGGAAUAUUUGAAAAAAUACGUUAAUAUUUAAACCUUAGAAUAGCUUUGGAAGUGGAUAUAGGCUGUAGGGUCAGAAGUAGAAGAUAGGGUAUUUUAAAAUAGUAUUAUUUGUAAGUGAUAAAAGUUAUUUUAAGUAUGAUAAAAAAGAUGGUUAGAAAUUAUGAUAUAUGUAAACUGCUAAAGAUGAAGUAAAAUGAAAAUCAGAUAGGUGGGACUUGGGGAAGUCAACUUAACAAUGUUUAGAAAAUAAUGAUAGGACAAGAAUUUGUUCUUAUUGUUUGUCUUUUCUGUCUGUGUUUUUUAUCUGUGUUAUAAAAUGAAUAAAAAAAUUUUUUGGAAAAAAACACAUAUAAAAACAUAAUAAAACAUUAAACUUUUUUUUAAAAAAAACCUUCCCUAUACAGGGCUGCCUCCAGAUGUGUUCUAAAGGUUGCAUAGUUGAAGGGACAGAAUACCCAAAUCCUGUCUGAAAUCACCCCAGGUUUCAAUAAUCACACCAGGCCUCAAAACUGUCCAAAACUCCUUUUGUCUUCUAAAAAAUCCAAAACAGCUUUUCUCUGCUUGUCUCUGCUUUUCUCACAAGAUGCUGUGGCAAAAGGCAAAAUGUUACUUUUAAAGGCUAAUGAAUAGGCUCUGUUCAUAGCAGGCCUGGGAAAUGAAUCUUAUCUCAAUCUUAUCUCAUUCUAGUUGCAACACAUCUGAACAAGCUGAACGCAAGGCUUCUCACCCCCCCUUUCUUGGCAAGAGUCCACAAUAGUCCCAAGACAGCUUUCUGUUCAUGCUCAGAGGAACUCAUGGGCAGGACUCUGGAGAAAGGAGGAGGGAACUGGAAAGGGGUAUAUAUGCUUGUGCACAGGACUGUGAACUUCGUGCAUGCUUUUUGUGACUUAUCACACUUGCUCCUUCUACCAGUUCAUGGAUGGUAGAAAUAAAAGCCUUUUCUCCGAAACUAUUCCUUGAGUGUCUGUUGACUCCCACUUCCCUUUCCCAGGCGCAAUAUUUUUCCCACCCGAGGGCAAAGCCUCAUAAGGCUACAUAGUUACUUAUCUCUUUGGCUUGGGGGUCCCAUAACUCCACUCCCUCCAACAUUUCUCUGAUGAAAAUGAGGACAUCCUAAGGAUCAAAUCAGAAACCGGGACAGCUUCUGUGAAUGCAGGAUUAUCCCUGGAGAAUAGGGACACUUGGUGGUUUUUGUGCAUGUCUCUUGGUGAGUUUGGCAAGAGGGGGCUUCUGGCACAGGGCACUGUGGAAUGCCCCCCCCCAACCAAGUUUCAGUGAGAGCGGGGGGAGGCCCAUCUGGGAGGCAGGAGAAAGCGUAUUCCAUUUUCGCCUCAUGUGGUCAAACGGGAUGGGGCGGCCCCUCCUCCAGCCACAAAACUGAUUGUAGAAGAGCAAUCUAUCCCAAUGAACUCAAAUGUAAAAUCUGCCUUUUUCAUUCUGUAUAAUUGGCAAAAGUGUAAUUUUAAUGUUUUAAUGUUGUAUUUUAAUCUUAUUUUUAAGUUGUAUUCCUUCAACUUGUUUUUAUUAUUGCUUGUUAGCCACCCUGAGCCCGGCCUUGGCUGGGGAGGGUGGGGUAUAAAUAAAAUUUAUUAUUAAUAUUAUUAAUAUUGGGUGAAUAUUGGAAAAUCAAUAAAAAUAUAGGUUUUGUUUUUUAAAAUGCCUUUUUCAAAGCAGUCACAUACUUUUAUAUAACUACUCCACCUUACUCACUUUCUCUAAGCCAAAUACACCCUCUGUUCCACACACACACACACACACACACACACCACACCAUGAUUUGGGUUCCCUUUUUAUCUACCUUUCCCAGCUCUUCCGUAAGUGCCACCACGGCCAAAACAUAAAACCUUUCCUUACAGAAAACGCCUCAAACCUAUCUAAUAUAAUCCCGAUCCAGUACACUCAAAAUAUGUGUUUUUAUCACUGGUUGCAGAAAGAUGCAGAAUGCGCCGCCACACAACUGUGGACCUGCCAGGAAGGGGAAAGGAAUUCUUCUGCCGUGUCAAAUGGAAUUCAGCCUGUGCCAAAGAGCAAAAUGAGAGGUUGAAAAUGAAGCAGAUAUAGCACCGCCACUGCAGAAACCGUGCAUUUGCAGAGAUGGAUUUCUCUGGAAACACAUAAGUUAGUAGUAAGUGAGGUCAGGAUAGCUCAGCGAGACUUUAUGAACGGCGUCGAAGUACAUAAAACUGUUCCUUUAAGGAACUCAACAGCAAUAUCAAUUAGCUUUAUUUACAAGUAUACUUUAGCUGUCUGUGUUGUCCACUGAUAUAUAACCGCAAAGCAAUGACUCCACAGGCUUAUUCAGUUGCCCUCAGCCUCACCCUUUCAAUCUUCUGAAGACAAAAAUUCUCCCUUUCUCCUACCACCCCUCCAUGCACACACCUAACACACGCACGCAUAUGGUUUGCGCUUGGGGGCUUAGAAAUCAAUAUACAUCACUGCAUAUUUAAAAGAAGUCUUAAGCAGGGCUUUUUUUCAGCCGGAACUUACUAGAACUCAGUUCCAGCACCUCUCAUGUGGGUGCCAUUGCCAUUAUAAGAGAACAAAGGAGGUGUUCCUGGUGAGUUCUGGUAUGGUGAGUUUCUAGAAAAAUAGCACUGGUCUUAAGAAAGAAUUGAAAGCAAGAAAUAAAAAUAACUUCCUAUAGUAGAGUCGGACACAACUAAACAACAACAACAUAGUAAGAUCUGUGUGGAAAAGCUCUCUAUCUCUCCCUUUGUCAUAAGGACUUGCUCCAUAACCUUUUCCUUGCAGCUAAUUUUUUGUGACACAGGGAUCCCAUCCUGCAGAGAUAUGGAAAUAUGGAAGCUCCUGGACAUGCCAAAAUCACCUAUCAUCAGAUCAAUAAGGUAGCUUUGAUUGUGUCCUCAAUGUCCAACUGUUGGCCAAACUGGCUGGAGCUGAUGGAACAACAAUAAUCUGGAGGACCGCAUAGUCUUCUCCUCUGGUUUGGAAAGAGAUUGUGUCAGCUGUCAGCUGUCCAGAACCUGUUUUCAGUCUAGGAGACUAUCACGGCUCAUGGAAAGGAGCAAAAGGGAAAGGAGCAAAAGGGAAAGGAGCAAAAGGGAAAAUAACAUGCACAUGGAAUUAAGGGAGAUCUUAGCAGGUGCACCUACUAAUCUAGACAGUGCUCAACAGCAUCCUUUUCAUUUGAAAUGAGCCUGUGCACAAGGUUCAAGGUUCUUGUAUUAAUUUUACUUAGCUUUUAUGGACCACCUGAACCCUUAUAACCUAGCUCAAUCACUGAGAUUAUCUAUAGGAGCCUUGUUGGUUGUGCCCCAAAUUGGUACUGACAUCAACACAAAAACUUCAGUGUCAUCAUUGGCCUGCUCAAUGGAGAUUCAGGGGGCAUUUUUUUAUGUUAAUCUUUCAGUCUUUGCCACCAGGAUUCUUUAGGCAAUUAAGAAAAGGUGGGGGGGGGGUUGUAAUAGUUGGCUGGUAAUCUGUUUCAAAGAGAUAUAAAAGCUGUCAUUAAAAGCUAUUGAAUGUAGAAAACAGGCAACAGUAUAGGAAAAUGCUCAAAAAGGUGAAGGCCAAAAGAUAAUAUUAAAAGACAAUAGCAACUGCACAACUAAAUAACUGAGAGAAUACAUCCAUUGACGCGGAGGGGAAAUGCAAGCUUUUAAUGAAAAUCAGCAAUGAAAACUCUGUUUCGUGAAGAAUGAUUUGCAACACAAAGCCAUAGAGAAAGAAAAAACAAAACUUAAGAGGAAACCUAAUGGAUGGCUUGUUGUACAUUAUUUGCUAAUUACUUAAUGUUUAAUGUUUUAUUAUGUUUUUAUAUGCUGGAAGCCGCCCAGGGUGGCUGGGGCUACCCUGUCAGAUGGGCAGGUUACAAACAAUAAAAAAAUAUUAUUAUUAGUUAUCAUUAUUA
This 4893-nucleotide long non-coding RNA is filed under the name Podarcis lilfordi (Lilford's wall lizard). The record is from RNAcentral. Lineage: Eukaryota; Metazoa; Chordata; Lepidosauria; Squamata; Lacertidae.